This is a small nucleolar RNA of Grammomys surdaster, 129 nucleotides long. RefSeq annotates it as small nucleolar RNA SNORA17. Lineage: Eukaryota; Metazoa; Chordata; Mammalia; Rodentia; Muridae. The record is from RefSeq and is a predicted model, not a curated record. The transcript has a single exon.
ACCAGCAAGCAUUGCAAGUGUGGAUGCUGUAUCACUUGUGCAUCAGUAGGUGGCAGAGAGGAGAGAGAGGCUAUGUCUACACUCAGUGUUCUGACCUAUGAACAUCUGAAGGAUUAGUAACCUAAAAUU